CCUACGGGUGGCAGCAGUGGGGAAUAUUGCGCAAUGGGCGAAAGCCUGACGCAGCGACGCCGCGUGAGGGAUGAAGGUCUUCGGAUUGUAAACCCCUGUCAGCAGGGAAGAAAGGUCAUUGAGCUAAUCAGCAGUGCAUUGACGGCACCUGUAAAGGAAGCACCGGCUAACUCCGGGCGAGCAGCCGCGGUAAUACGGCGGGUGCGUACGUUAUUCGGAUUUACUGGGCGUAAAGGGCGCGUAGGCGGUAUGCCAAGUCAAGGGUGAAAUCUCUGGGCUCAACGUGGGGACUGCCUUUGAAACUGGAUAACUGGAGUGGGUGAGAGGAUAGUGGAAUUCCAGGUGUAGCGGUGAAAUCCGUAGAUAUCAGGAGGAACAUCGGUGGCGAAGGCGGCUAUCUGGAACGUAACUGACGCUGAGGCGCGAAAGCGUGGGUAGCGAACAGGAUUAGAUACCCCUGUAGUC
This 465-nucleotide ribosomal RNA is filed under the name uncultured bacterium. Its description in RNAcentral is "partial 16S ribosomal RNA". It matches the Rfam family "Bacterial small subunit ribosomal RNA", at positions 338 to 795 of the family's 1533-position model. The record is from RNAcentral.